Molecule: ribosomal RNA, 374 nt
Filed under: uncultured organism
Description: partial 16S ribosomal RNA
Rfam family: Bacterial small subunit ribosomal RNA
Source: RNAcentral
GGAGGGAGCGAGCGUUGUUCGGAAUCACUGGGCGUAAAGGGCGCGUAGGCGGCCGAGUAAGUCGUGUGUGAAAGACCGGGGCUCAACUCCGUGUACUGCAUGCGAUACUGCUCGGCUAGAGAAAGGUAGAGGCGAGUGGAAUUCCCGGUGUAGCGGUGGAAUGCGUAGAUAUCGGGAAGAACACCUGUGGCGAAGGCGGCUCGCUGGGCCUUUUCUGACGCUGAAGUGCGAAAGCGUGGGGAGCAAACAGGAUUAGAUACCCUGGUAGUCCACGCCGUAAACGAUGGGCACUAGGCGUUGGGAGGAUUGACCCUCUCAGUGCCGUAGCUAACGCGUUAAGUGCCCCCCGCCUGGGGAGUACGGCCGCAAGGCUG